AAGUCGAACGGCAGCAUGACCUAGCUUGCUAGGUUGAUGGCGAGUGGCGAACGGGUGAGUAAUACAUCGGAACGUGCCCUGUAGUGGGGGAUAACUAGUCGAAAGAUUAGCUAAUACCGCAUACGACCUGAGGGUGAAAGUGGGGGACCGCAAGGCCUCAUGCUACAGGAGCGGCCGAUGUCUGAUUAGCUAGUUGGUGAGGUAAAGGCUCACCAAGGCGACGAUCAGUAGCUGGUCUGAGAGGACGAUCAGCCACACUGGGACUGAGACACGGCCCAGACUCCUACGGGAGGCAGCAGUGGGGAAUUUUGGACAAUGGGCGAAAGCCUGAUCCAGCGAUGCCGCGUGUGUGAAGAAGGCCUUCGGGUUGUAAAGCACUUUUGUCCGGAAAGAAAUGGCUCUGGUUAAUACCUGGAGUCGAUGACGGUACCGGAAGAAUAAGGACCGGCUAACUACGUGCCAGCAGCCGCGGUAAUACGUAGGGUCCAAGCGUUAAUCGGAAUUACUGGGCGUAAAGCGUGCGCAGGCGGUUGUGCAAGACCGAUGUGAAAUCCCCGGGCUUAACCUGGGAAUUGCAUUGGUGACUGCACGGCUAGAGUGUGUCAGAGGGAGGUAGAAUUCCACGUGUAGCAGUGAAAUGCGUAGAGAUGUGGAGGAAUACCGAUGGCGAAGGCAGCCUCCUGGGAUAACACUGACGCUCAUGCACGAAAGCGUGGGGAGCAAACAGGAUUAGAUACCCUG
This 741-nucleotide ribosomal RNA is filed under the name Ralstonia sp. BEB12. RNAcentral describes it as "bacterial SSU rRNA". It matches the Rfam family "Bacterial small subunit ribosomal RNA", at positions 59 to 789 of the family's 1533-position model. The record is from RNAcentral. Lineage: Bacteria; Pseudomonadati; Pseudomonadota; Betaproteobacteria; Burkholderiales; Burkholderiaceae.